RNAcentral lists this ribosomal RNA (419 nucleotides) under uncultured bacterium. RNAcentral's name for it is "bacterial SSU rRNA". It matches the Rfam family "Bacterial small subunit ribosomal RNA", at positions 64 to 507 of the family's 1533-position model. The record is from RNAcentral.
GAACGGGGUCGCAAUACCCAGUGGCAGUACGGGUGAGUCACACGUGGUCAACCUACCUCUGUGUGGGGGAUCACUAGCCGAAAGGUUAGCUAAUACCGCAUACUAUCGUUUGGAGGCAUCUCCGAACGAUGAAAGGAGCAAUCCGCACGGAGUAGGGGACUGCGUCCCAUUAGUUAGUUGGUGGGGUAACGGCCUACCAAGUACUCCGAUGGGUAGCUGGCUUGAUAGAGCGACCAGCCACACUGGAACUGAGACACGGUCCAGACUCCUACGGGAGGCAGCAGUGAGGAAUUUUCCGCAAUGGGCGAAAGCCUGACGGAGCGACGCCGCGUGUGGGAAGAAGGCCUUCGGGUCGUAAACCACUGUCGAAGGGGACGAUAUUGACGGUACCCUUGGAGGAAGCCCCGGCUAACUACGUG